This 254-nucleotide ribosomal RNA is filed under the name uncultured bacterium. RNAcentral's name for it is "partial 16S ribosomal RNA". It matches the Rfam family "Bacterial small subunit ribosomal RNA", at positions 524 to 776 of the family's 1533-position model. The record is from RNAcentral.
CACGUAGGGGGCGAGCGUUGUCCGGAUUUAUUGGGCGUAAAGAGCUCGUAGGCGGCUCGGCAAGUCGGACGUGAAAUUCCAGGGCUCAACCCUGGACCGCCGUUCGAUACUGCUGUGGCUAGAGUCCGGUAGGGGAGCGUGGAACUCCUGGUGUAGCGGUGAAAUGCGCAGAUAUCAGGAAGAACACCAGUGGCGAAGGCGGCGCUCUGGGCCGGAACUGACGCUGAGGAGCGAAAGCGUGGGGAUCAAACAGG